This 497-nucleotide ribosomal RNA is filed under the name uncultured bacterium. Its description in RNAcentral is "partial 16S ribosomal RNA". It matches the Rfam family "Bacterial small subunit ribosomal RNA", at positions 28 to 507 of the family's 1533-position model. The record is from RNAcentral.
GAUGAACGCUGGCGGCGUGCCUAAUACAUGCAAGUCGAGCGAACAGAUAAGGAGCUUGCUCCUUUGACGUUAGCGGCGGACGGGUGAGUAACACGUGGGUAACCUACCUAUAAGACUGGGAUAACUUCGGGAAACCGGAGCUAAUACCAGAUAACAUUUGGAACCGCAUGGUUCUAAAGUGAAAGAUGGUUUUGCUAUCACUUAUAGAUGGACCCGCGCCGUAUUAGCUAGUUGGUAAGGUAACGGCUUACCAAGGCGACGAUACGUAGCCGACCUGAGAGGGUGAUCGGCCACACUGGAACUGAGACACGGUCCAGACUCCUACGGGAGGCAGCAGUAGGGAAUCUUCCGCAAUGGGCGAAAGCCUGACGGAGCAACGCCGCGUGAGUGAUGAAGGGUUUCGGCUCGUAAAACUCUGUUAUUAGGGAAGAACAAAUGUGUAAGUAACUGUGCACGUCUUGACGGUACCUAAUCAGAAAGCCACGGCAAACUACGUG